CCUUCGGGUUGUAAAGCACUUUCGGCCGGAACGAAAUCGCGCGGAUUAAUAACUCGUGUGGAUGACGGUACCGGAAGAAGAAGCACCGGCUAACUACGUGC
Molecule: ribosomal RNA, 101 nt
Filed under: uncultured bacterium
Lineage: Bacteria
Description: partial 16S ribosomal RNA
Source: RNAcentral